GGGCGAUUAGCUCAGCAGGUUAGAGCGCCACGCUCACAUCGUGGAGGUCAGCCGUUCAAAUCGGCUAUCGCCCACCA
Molecule: transfer RNA, 77 nt
Filed under: Candidatus Latescibacterota bacterium
Lineage: Bacteria; Pseudomonadati; Candidatus Latescibacterota
Description: tRNA-Val
Rfam family: tRNA
About the family: Transfer RNA (tRNA) molecules are approximately 80 nucleotides in length. Their secondary structure includes four short double-helical elements and three loops (D, anti-codon, and T loops). Further hydrogen bonds mediate the characteristic L-shaped molecular structure. tRNAs have two regions of fundamental functional importance: the anti-codon, which is responsible for specific mRNA codon recognition, and the 3' end, to which the tRNAs corresponding amino acid is attached (by aminoacyl-tRNA synthetases). tRNAs cope with the degeneracy of the genetic code in two manners: having more than one tRNA (with a specific anti-codon) for a particular amino acid; and 'wobble' base-pairing, i.e. permitting non-standard base-pairing at the 3rd anti-codon position.
Source: RNAcentral